This 404-nucleotide ribosomal RNA is filed under the name uncultured bacterium. RNAcentral describes it as "bacterial SSU rRNA". It matches the Rfam family "Bacterial small subunit ribosomal RNA", at positions 356 to 776 of the family's 1533-position model. The record is from RNAcentral.
GGGGGAUAUUGCACAAUGGGGGGAACCCUGAUGCAGCGACGCCGCGUGGGUGAAGGAGCGUUUCGGCGCGUAAAGCCCUAUCGGCAGGGAAGAAGGAGGACGGUACCUGACUAAGAAGCCCCGGCUAACUACGUGCCAGCAGCCGCGGUAAUACGUAGGGGGCAAGCGUUAUCCGGAUUUACUGGGUGUAAAGGGGGCGUAGACGGCGAUGCAAGUCUGAAGUGAAAGGCGGGGGCCCAACCCCCGGACUGCUUUGGAAACUGUAUGGCUGGAGUGCAGGAGAGGUAAGUGGAAUUCCUAGUGUAGCGGUGAAAUGCGUAGAUAUUAGGAGGAACACCAGUGGCGAAGGCGGCUUACUGGACUGUAACUGACGUUGAGGCUCGAAAGCGUGGGGAGCAAACAGG